UACGUAGGGUGCAAGCGUUAAUCGGAAUUACUGGGCGUAAAGCGCGCGCAGGCGGUUUGUUAAGCCAGAUGUGAAAUCCCCGGGCUCAACCUGGGAACUGCGUUUGGAACUGGCAAGCUAGAGUGUGUUAGAGGGGGGUAGAAUUCCACGUGUAGCAGUGAAAUGCGUAGAGAUGUGGAGGAAUACCGAUGGCGAAGGCAGCCCCCUGGGAUAACACUGACGCUCAUGCUCGAAAGCGUGGGUAGCAAACAGG
Molecule: ribosomal RNA, 253 nt
Filed under: uncultured bacterium
Lineage: Bacteria
Description: partial 16S ribosomal RNA
Rfam family: Bacterial small subunit ribosomal RNA
Source: RNAcentral